Molecule: ribosomal RNA, 42 nt
Filed under: uncultured Glomeromycotina
Lineage: Eukaryota; Fungi; Glomeromycota
Description: partial 5.8S ribosomal RNA
Source: RNAcentral
UCAAACUUGGUCAUUUASAGGAAGUAAAAGUCCGUAACAAGG